This 275-nucleotide ribosomal RNA is filed under the name uncultured bacterium. RNAcentral describes it as "partial 16S ribosomal RNA". It matches the Rfam family "Bacterial small subunit ribosomal RNA", at positions 335 to 603 of the family's 1533-position model. The record is from RNAcentral.
ACUCCUACGGGAGGCAGCAGUAGGAAUUUUCCGCAAUGGACGAAAGUCUGACGGAGCAAUGCCGCGUGAGUGAUGAAGGUUUUCGAAUUGUAAAGCUCUGUUGUAAGGGAAGAAUAGCAAGAAUAGGAAAUGAUUCUUGUCUGACGGUACCUUACCAGAAAGCCACGGCUAACUACGUGCCAGCAGCCGCGGUAAUACGUAGGUGGCAAGCGUUAUCCGGAAUUAUUGGGCGUAAAGCGCAUGUAGGCGGCUUGUUAAGCCAGAUGUGAAAGCCC